ACUUUAUGGUUUGGGCAUUGCAUGAGGAUGUCAUUAAAGUGCUGCCACACCUCAUAUCAAAGCUCACUACUAAGUUGACAAAAAAUUUGUGAUUUCGUCUCUUAGUUU
Capsicum annuum is the source of this 108-nucleotide small nucleolar RNA. The record is from RefSeq and is a predicted model, not a curated record. NCBI's taxonomy places the organism in Eukaryota, Viridiplantae, Streptophyta, Magnoliopsida, Solanales, Solanaceae.